Molecule: ribosomal RNA, 510 nt
Filed under: Drosophila fastigata
Lineage: Eukaryota; Metazoa; Arthropoda; Insecta; Diptera; Drosophilidae
Description: partial 16S ribosomal RNA
Rfam family: Bacterial large subunit ribosomal RNA (bases 386-510)
Source: RNAcentral
GUCUUUUUGAAUUAAAUUUAAAGUCUAACCUGCCCACUGAAAAUUUUAAAUGGCCGCAGUAUUUUAACUGUGCAAAGGUAGCAUAAUCAUUAGUCUUUUAAUUGAAGGCUGGAAUGAAUGGUUGGACGAAAUAUUAACUGUUUCAUUUAAAUUUUUUAUAGAAUUUUAUUUUUUAGUCAAAAAGCUAAAAUAAAUUUAAAAGACGAGAAGACCCUAUAAAUCUUUAUAUUUUAUUUAUUUUAAUUAUAAAGAUUAUUUUUAUUAUAAUAAAUUAAAGUAUUUUAUUGGGGUGAUAUUAAAAUUUAAAAAACUUUUAAUUUUUAAAACCAUUAAUUUAUGAAUAAUUGAUCCAUUAAUAAUGAUUAAAAAUUUAAGUUACUUUAGGGAUAACAGCGUAAUUUUUUUGGAGAGUUCAUAUCGAUAAAAAAGAUUGCGACCUCGAUGUUGGAUUAAGAUAUAAUUUUGGGUGUAGCCGUUCAAAUUUUAAGUCUGUUCGACUUUUAAAUUCUU